GUUUAAGAUAGUUUAAAAAAAAACAAUGGUUUUGUAAACCAUAAUUUAAAUAAAAUUUAUCUAAACU
Molecule: transfer RNA, 67 nt
Filed under: Penthicodes atomaria
Lineage: Eukaryota; Metazoa; Arthropoda; Insecta; Hemiptera; Fulgoridae
Description: tRNA-Thr
Source: RNAcentral